This 447-nucleotide ribosomal RNA is filed under the name uncultured bacterium. RNAcentral's name for it is "bacterial SSU rRNA". It matches the Rfam family "Bacterial small subunit ribosomal RNA", at positions 355 to 825 of the family's 1533-position model. The record is from RNAcentral.
UCAAGAAACUUCCACAAUGGGCGAAAGCCUGAUGGAGCGACGUCGCGUGAGUGAAGAAGGCCUUCGGGUUGUAAAGCUCUUUUACCAGGGAUGAUAAUGACAGUACCUGGAGAAUAAGCUCCGGCUAACUCCGUGCCAGCAGCCGCGGUAAUACGGAGGGAGCUAGCGUUGUUCGGAAUUACUGGGCGUAAAGCGUACGUAGGCGGUGACUCAAGCCAGAGGUGAAAGCCUGGAGCUCAACUCCAGAACUGCCUUUGAAACUAGGUCGCUAGAAUCACGGAGAGGUGAGUGGAAUUCCGAGUGUAGAGGUGAAAUUCGUAGAUAUUCGGAAGAACACCAGUGGCGAAGGCGGCUCACUGGACGUGUAUUGACGCUGAGGUACGAAAGCGUGGGGAGCAAACAGGAUUAGAUACCCGUGUAGUCCCUGAGCGGGCUGGCAAGGCGCAU